Molecule: long non-coding RNA, 1802 nt
Organism: Homo sapiens (human)
Lineage: Eukaryota; Metazoa; Chordata; Mammalia; Primates; Hominidae
Gene: PRKCQ-AS1
Product: PRKCQ antisense RNA 1
Source: Ensembl
AGGAGGAAAUCCUAUGUGUCUGCUCCCGGAGCUGCCACAACCCAUCUUCCCACAACUCGGAACUUGGAAAAAGGAACCCAGGACACGACUUUGCUUUUCUUUUGGACCUAGUUGAAGUCACAGCUUGGAGGAAACCAGUUUGCACUAUUUGAUGAGGAAUUUGGCCACCAAACCACUGAUACUUUCCCAAAGAUACAAGUUAACAGGAUAUGCUUCUGGCCUGUUUCUGGAUUCUAAGGGUAGAACCAGCAUAAAACUAGUCAGUCCAAGUAUUUCUAAAGAUCCACAGACACAGUUCUCCUGGAUUUGGGAAGCCUAGAGAUAUUAGCACAAUAAUUAAGGCCCAACAACUUUUAAAAGCCUUUCCACUGCACAGUGAAAGAAAACCACAAACUCCUUGUUUAAUAAGUGGGAUCACGUGCUUUUAACACGAGGAAAAGGUCAAUCUGAAGCAACUGAUAUGGAACUGCCAGAGUAGGAGUUGAAAAUCUUCCUAAACUGCUGGAGGAUACACCUCUGAUAGCUUGAGACAAAUAUCCUCUUGAUCAUUGUUUCACCAUAUUUGUCUUUGCUCAUGGAGAACCAUUUUGAUCCGUGGUUUAGCCUCCCAGGUGAUUGAACAAUACCGGUGAUCUGAGGCAGACCCUCUGUGACGGAUAACAGGAAAGAAUAUUGAUUGAACAUCUACUCAAGAACUGCAAAACAGAGAUUACCUGACCUAAAGCAUUUAUAUUGCCAAUCAUGUUGGAGAGUCCAUGUGGUGAUUUCUGAAAACGAGAUGUGAGAAAGAAGAGGAUAAUUUAAGUCUAGACCUACAGAUUGUGCUGAUAAAGUGAUGAAGAACUACAAUCUUCUUAGUCAUUUCAUUGUAUAAGUGCAAUAAAGGAUUUUGUGUCUUUCCUGGCAAACAACUUGUGACCACAGUGAUGGCUCCAGCAGAAUGGAAAAGACCCUUUACCUCACAUCUCAGAAGUAAAGAUGCUGAUUAUUUGACAUCGCCAUUGGAAUCUCAAAACAGUGUAAAGCAUUUGCUAAAAAGAGUCACUUUCUGAGAAAUGACUCAGAAUUCGACUUACGUACUAGCAGAACUUAUUGCCCAUAAAAGGAAAGGCCACACUUUUUGUGAAAACUUAAUAAUCCCUAGGAUGUAAAAUUAUACUGAGUUAAAUCCUAGUCCCAUUUUUAGUACAAGAAACUGGAAAAAAAUAAUCCACUCUCAAAUGGUAAGACAAAUUGAGAUAUUGCUGAAAAGCCUCUUGACCCUGAAAAGUUCUGAAUAAUAAACUGAUAAAAGCAGCAGCAGCAUCUAACUUGACACCAGUCAUGUCAUUUGUAAGUAAGGUUGGUAAAUAGUAAUGAAAUUCAAGCAAUAUUUUCAGCUAUGAAGAGCUGCUCAAACCAAGCAAAGGCCAAGAUCUACUUUAAAUUUUGUCUACGUAUCUUUAAACAAGGCAUCUGUCUUGGGGGCAUUGUGUUAGCAUCUGUACCGGUAACACCUCAUCCAGGGUUGGCUUGAUAAGAGGCUUCACAUUUUUUGUAGAAUAAGAAAAAAACCUGGCAUUGUCACAACACACUGAUUUGUUCAUGCAGUAGUGCUUGGGGUCAAAAACUCUUGGAAUGACCAGGCAGAGUGGCUCACACCUGUAAUCUCUGCACUUUGGGAGGUCAAGGUGGGCGGAUCACUUGAGGUAAGGAGUUCAAGACCAGCCUGGCCAAUAGGGUGAAACCCCAUCUCUCUUUUUUUUUUAAAUUAUACUUUAAGUUCUAGGGUACAUGUGCACAAUGUGCAGGUUUGUUACAUA